RNAcentral lists this long non-coding RNA (436 nucleotides) under Homo sapiens (human). RNAcentral's name for it is "novel transcript, antisense to CDC16". The record is from RNAcentral. Lineage: Eukaryota; Metazoa; Chordata; Mammalia; Primates; Hominidae.
GCUUGCUCAAGCCCCUCUCACUCUGUGGAGUAUACUUUCACUUCAAUACACCUAUGCUUUCAUGUUCCAUUGCUUUGUUUUGUUCAAUCUUUGUUCACCAUGCCAAGAACCUGGACAACUUGUAGUGAAGACCUUCCACACCAGUAACAUAUUUUGGUGAGCCAGUCGGGAGCACGAAUGGUUAGAAAGAUGAACUUGGAACCUCAGACGAGAAUAUGAGAAACAUAAACAGAGACAUAUGACAACCUAAAAAAUGGAGUACAAUACCAAUAAGAAUAACGAUUAUCUUACCAAUAUAAGCUUCAGAAUCACCAAUGUACAUUUCGAUGCAAUGACCAAGCAUUGUAACAGAAAAUGUAUCAUCUCGCCUAAGACCAAGGGCCUGCCAUAAAAGAUUCAGCAUGGUUAUUAAAAGAAAACAUAUUUCCUUCUCUUA